UUAAGUUCAGCGGGUAUUCCUACCUGAUCCGAGGUCAACCUUGAGAAAGAUUGGGGUGUUUUCACGGCCGUGGACGCGCCGCGCUCCCGUUGCGAGCGUGCAAGCUACUGCGCAGGGGAAGGCUGCGGCGUGACCGCCACUGGAUUUCGGGGCCGGCAGCCGCUAUGGUAGCGGCGGGCCGAUCCCCAACGCCGGGCCCC
This 200-nucleotide unclassified non-coding RNA is filed under the name Trichoderma sp. RNAcentral's name for it is "partial internal transcribed spacer 2". Lineage: Eukaryota; Fungi; Ascomycota; Sordariomycetes; Hypocreales; Hypocreaceae. The record is from RNAcentral.